CCUACGGGCGGCAGCAGUGAGGAAUAUUGGUCAAUGGGAGGAAGCCUGAACCAGCCAUGCCGCGUGCAGGACGACGGCUCUACGAGUUGUAAACUGCUUUUGUACCGGGGUAAAAUGCUCUACGAGUAGGGUUUUGAAUGUACGGUACGAAUAAGGAUCGGCUAACUCCGUGCCAGCAGCCGCGGUAAUACGGAGGAUCCGAGCGUUAUCCGGAUUUAUUGGGUUUAAAGGGUGCGUAGGUUGGUUGUUAAGUUAGCUGUGAAAGACCGAGGCUCAACCUCAGGGCUGCAGCUGAUACUGGAAGACUAGAGAUCGGAUGAAGCAGGCGGAAUGUGUAGUGUAGCGGUGAAAUGCAUAGAUAUUACACAGAACACCGAUUGCGAAGGCAACUUGCUAGGCCGGAACUGACACUGAUGCACGAAAGUGUGGGGAUCGAACAGGAUUAGAUACCCUAGUAGUC
Molecule: ribosomal RNA, 460 nt
Filed under: uncultured bacterium
Lineage: Bacteria
Description: partial 16S ribosomal RNA
Rfam family: Bacterial small subunit ribosomal RNA
Source: RNAcentral